Molecule: ribosomal RNA, 502 nt
Filed under: uncultured bacterium
Lineage: Bacteria
Description: bacterial SSU rRNA
Rfam family: Bacterial small subunit ribosomal RNA
Source: RNAcentral
AAUGAACGCUGGCGGCGUGCCUAACACAUGCAAGUCGAACGCGAAAGGGGGCUUCGGCUCCUAAGUAGAGUGGCGUCCGGGUGAGUAACACGUAGGUAAUCUGCCUUCGGGUGGGGAAUAACCAGUCGAAAGAUUGGCUAAUACCGCAUAAUGCAGCGGCACCUAAUGGUGAUUAGUUGUUAAAGCGGGGGAUCGUAAGACCUCGCGCCUGAAGAGGAGCCUGCGGCAGAUUAGCUAGUUGGUGAGGUAAUGGCUCACCAAGGCUUCGAUCUGUAGCUGGUCUGAGAGGACGGCCAGCCACACUGGCACUGACACACGGGCCAGACUCCUACGGGAGGCAGCAGUGGGGAAUUUUGGGCAAUGGGCGAAAGCCUGACCCAGCAACGCCGCGUGAGGGAGGAAAUCCUUCGGGAUGUAAACCUCACAAGCAAGGGAAGAGAGCUCAGGGACCGAAUAAGCUUUGAGUCCGACGGUACCUUGCGUAAGCCACGGCUAACUACGU